GAUGAACGCUGGCGGCGUGCCUAAUACAUGCAAGUCGAGCGAACAGAUGAGGAGCUUGCUCCUCUGACGUUAGCGGCGGGGGGGUGAGUAACACGUGGAUAACCUACCUAUAAGACUGGGAUAACUUCGGGAAACCGGAGCUAAUACCGGAUAAUAUAUUGAACCGCAUGGGUCAAUAGUGAAAGACGGUUUUGGUGUCACUUAUAGAUGGAUAUCCGCCGGAUUAGCUGGUUGGUAAGGUAACGGCUUACCAAGGGAACGAUGCGUGGCCGACGUGUGGGGGGGAUCGGCGGCACGGGAGCUGAACCACGGACCAUGCUCCUACGGGACGCACCAGUAGCGAACGUUCCGCAGUGGGCGAAAGCCUGGCGGAGCAACCCCGAGUGAGUGAUAAAGGCCUUCGGAGCGGAAAACUCUGUUACGAGGGAAGAACAAAUGUGUAAGUAACUAUGCACUUCUUGACGGUACCUAGUCAGAAAGCCCCGGCUAACUACGUG
Molecule: ribosomal RNA, 497 nt
Filed under: uncultured bacterium
Lineage: Bacteria
Description: partial 16S ribosomal RNA
Rfam family: Bacterial small subunit ribosomal RNA
Source: RNAcentral